This 3322-nucleotide ribosomal RNA is filed under the name Brassica rapa (field mustard). RNAcentral's name for it is "eukaryotic LSU rRNA". It matches the Rfam family "Eukaryotic large subunit ribosomal RNA", at positions 1 to 2661 of the family's 3401-position model. Lineage: Eukaryota; Viridiplantae; Streptophyta; Magnoliopsida; Brassicales; Brassicaceae. The record is from RNAcentral.
ACUCUCGCAAUGGAUAUCUCGGCUCUCACAUCGAUGAAGAACGAGCAAAAUGCGAUACUUGGUGUGAAUUGCAGAAUCCCGAACAAUCGAAGUCUUUGAACGCAAGUUGCACCCCAAGCCUUCGGCCGAGGGCACGCGGUGCCUGGGUGUCAAAAUCGUCGUGGUUUACCGCACGCCGGUUGGCCAAAAUCCGAGCUAAGGACGCCAGGAGCGUUUUACAUGCGGUGGUGAAUUCAAUUCUCGCCAUAUAGUCAGACAUUCGAUCCAAAAGCUCUUUGAUGACCCAAAGUCCUCAACGCUGACCCCAGGUCAGGCGGGAUCACCCGCUGAGUUUAAGCAUAUCAAUAAGCCGGAGGAAAAGAAACUAACAAGGAUUCCCUUUAGUAACGACGAAAUAACCGAAAAGCCCAGCUUGAAAAUCGGACGCCUUUUCGGAGCUCAAAUUGUAGUCGUGAGAAGCCCCUCAGCGGACGGACCGGCACCAGAGAGGGUGAGAGCCCGCCGCGUUCGGACCCUGUCUCACCACGAGGCGCUGUCUACGAAGUCGGGUUGUUUGGGAAUGCAGCCCCAAUCGGGCGGUAAAUUCCGGGCCCAAGGCUUAAUAUGAGCUGAGAGAUCGAUAAAUAACAAGUACCGCGAGGUAAAGAUGAAAAGGAAUUUGAAAAGAGAGUCAAAAAAAGUGCUUGAAAUUGUUGGGAGGGAAGCGAUAGGGCCGGCGGAUUCGUCCCUAUCGGAUUCGAACGGAGCAAUCCGGUCCACCGAUCGAUUCGGGCCGUGGACCGAUGCAGAUUAAGGUGGUGACCUAAGCCCGGGCUUUUUUGUUACGCCCGCUGGAGACGCCACUGCCUUUAAUCGUGGUUUGCAGCAUGCCUCACGGCGCGGUUUCACAUCUGCGCGUGCUCGGCGCCGGCCUGGGGCUCCCCAUUCGACCUGUCUUGAAUCACGGACCAAGAGUCUGACAUGUGCGAAGUCAACGGGUUCGUAAACCUGUAAAGCAAAGAAGCUGAUUGGCUGGAUCCUCACGGUGCCCAGCCGACUGACCUUGAUCUUCCGAGAAGGGUUCGAAAGUGUGAGCAUGCAUGUCGGGACCCGAAAGAUGGUGAACUAUGCUUUUGGAGCGGGCUAAGUCGGCGAAACUCCUGGUGGUGGCCUGCGUGAUACCGACAUGCAAAUCGCUUUCGCCUGAAUUGGGUAUAGGGGCGAAAAGACUAAUCAAACCAUCUAGUAGCUGGUUCCCUCCGAAGUUUCCCCUAAGGAUAGCCGGAGCUCGGAAACGAAGUUCUAUCGGGUAAAGUCAAUGAUUGAGGCAUCGGGAUGCAAUUUCCUUGACCUAUUCUCAAACUUUAAAUAGGUUGGACGGGGUGGCUGCUUUGUUGAGCCAUCCCACGGAAUCGAGAGCUCCAAGUGGGCCAUUUUUGGUAAGCAGAACUGGCCAUGCCGGAUGAACCAAAAGCCGGGUUAUGGUGCCCAACUGCUCGCUAACCUAGAACCCACAAAGGGUGUUUGUCGAUUAAGACAGCAGGACGGUGGUCAUGGAAGUCGAAAUCUGCUAAGGAGUGUGUAACAACUCACCCGCCAAUCAACUAGCCCCAAAAUGGAUGGCGCUGAAGCGUCGACUAUAUACCCGUCCGUCCGGGCAAAGAGCCAGGCCUCGAUGAGAAGGAGGGCGCGGUGGUCGCUGCAAAACCUAGGGCGUGAGCCCGGUGGAGCAGCCGUCGGUGCAGAUCUUGGUGGUAGUAGCAAAUAUUCAAAUGAGAACUUUGAAGGUCAAGAGGGGAAAGGUUCUAUGUGAACGGCACUUGCACAUGGGUUAGUCGAUCCUAAGACUCGAGGGAAACCUGUCUGAUAUGCUUUAUGCGCGAACUUCAAAGGGGAUCCGUUAAAAUUCCAGAACUGGGACGUGGCGGUUGACGGCUACGUUAGGAAGUCCAAAGACGCCGGGAAUUCGGAAAGAGUUAUGUUUUCUGUUUAACAGCCUGCCCACCAUGGAAAGGGCUCAGGCCGGAGGGGUCCAGCGGCUGGAAGAGCACCGACGCUAUGCGUGUUGUCCGCGGAUUCCCCGCCCUUGAAAAUCAGGAGGACUGAGUGCCGCCAUGUCCGGUCGCAUCAUAACCGAUCAGGUCUCCAAGGUGAACAGCCUCUUGUCGAUGGAACAAUGUAGGCAAGAGAAGUCGGUAAAAUGGAUCCGUAACUUCGAAAAAAGAUUGGCUCGAGGGCUGGGCUCGGGUCCCAGUUCAACACGCCGACUGUUGGCGGGCUGCUUGAGCUGCUAACGGGCGAGAGCGACCGCCUUGUGUCCGGCCGAGGGAUGGACUGGGAACGCUCUUUCGAGAUCUUUCCCCGGCGCCGAACAGCCAACUCCAGAACUGGUACGACAAGGGUAAUCCGAUUGUUUAAUUAAAACAAAGCAUUGUGAUGGUCCCCGCGGAUGCUAACGCAAUGUGAUUUCUGCCCAGUGUUCACAAUGUCAAAGUGAAGAAAUUCAACCAAGCCGGGUAAACGGCGGAUUAACUAUGAAUCUCUUUAAGGUAGCCAAAUGCCUUGUCAUCUAAUUAGUGACGCACAUGAAUGGACUAACGAGAUUCCCACCGUCCCUUGUCUACUAUCCAGCCAAAACCACAAACCAAGGGAACGGGCUUGGCAGAAUCAGCGGGAAAGAAGACCCCGGUUGAGCUUGACUCUAGUCCGACUUUGUGAAAUGACUUGAGAAGUGUAGAAUAAGUGGGAGCUCCAACGCAAGUGAAAUACCACUACUUUUAACGUUAUUUUACUUACCCGCGAAUCGAGGCGGGUAACAACCCCUUCUUUUAGACCUAAGACUCGCUUUGGCCGGGUCAAUCCGGCGGAGGACAUUGUCAGGUAAGGAGGUUGUAGGGGCUGGUGACCAGGCGGGAUUCCGCUGGUUAAAGAUUUUGAGGAUGUGUUUCGGGAACUACAGGGCAUUCCCCCUGAUAGGGCUGGCCGGUUCAUAAUAGAACUAGAACCAGGGACGGCCCCAAUGUCCAAAAGUCCAUAUCGUAUGGCUCCGCCGAGAUGGCCGAGCUAAAGAAGCAACUGGAAGAGUUGUUGGACAAAGGGUUCAUACGACCAAGUGUCUCCGCCUUGGGAGCACCGGUUCUUUUUAGAAGAAAAAGGAUGGUAGCUUCAGGCUGUGUAUUGAUUACCGAGGGUUGAAUAGGGUUAGGAAUGCUACUGAGGUUAGGAGUUUCCCUAGGGCUGGCCGGCUACUACAGAAAGUAUGUCAAGGGUUUGCCCGUUUGGCUCAACCCAUGACAAACCUAACUUACAGGCAAGGAUGAAGUUUGCCUGGAAUGAAGGGUGU